RNAcentral lists this transfer RNA (73 nucleotides) under Chloroflexota bacterium. RNAcentral's name for it is "tRNA-Arg". It matches the Rfam family "tRNA". Rfam says of the family: Transfer RNA (tRNA) molecules are approximately 80 nucleotides in length. Their secondary structure includes four short double-helical elements and three loops (D, anti-codon, and T loops). Lineage: Bacteria; Bacillati; Chloroflexota. RNAcentral also lists the same sequence under 1 other name. The record is from RNAcentral.
GCCCUCGUAGCUCAAUGGACAGAGCACCUGGCUUCGGACCAGGGGGUUGUGGGUUCGAAUCCUGCCGAGGGCG